This 465-nucleotide ribosomal RNA is filed under the name Triticum aestivum (bread wheat). RNAcentral describes it as "partial small subunit ribosomal RNA". Lineage: Eukaryota; Viridiplantae; Streptophyta; Magnoliopsida; Poales; Poaceae. The record is from RNAcentral.
AUGAUGAAGGAGCUCACUGACCUGCUCGGCACGAUCGCCGUGAGCGACGUUUUUCCGAGACUAGGGUGGCUGGUGGACUGGGCGACGGGGCUCCAAGCGAGUGUGAAGAGGACGGCGGCCAAGCUCGACAGUAUUAUGGAGAGGACGAUCACGGAGCACGAGGAGGACCCAGGAAACGACGACGGCGAGGCUCCGGACCUCCUGGACGACUUGCUCUUGAUCGCCAAGGAUGGUGACCAGGGGUUUAAGCUGGACCGGAUCGAUGUGAAGGGAGUCAUCUUAGACAUGUUCAUAGCAGGCACCGACACGACCUACAAGACGAUAGAAUGGACCAUGGCCGAGCUCAUCAAGAAUCCAAGAGAAAUGGCAAAGGUGCAAUCAGAGGUGAGACAGGUUGCUGAAGGUGUGCACGGAGGACUCCUCGAGGAGGAGCUGGAAAAGAUGAGCCUCCUGCAGGCGGCAUGA